UGAGUAACCUGCCCUUAACUCUGGGAUAAGCCUGGGAAACUGGGUCUAAUACCGGAUAUGACUCCUCAUCGCAUGGGUGGGGGGUGGAAAGCUUUAUUGUUGGUUUUGGAUGGACUCGCGGCCUAUCAGCUUGUUGAUGAGGUAAUGGCUUACCAAGGCGACGGCGGGUAGCCGGCCUGAGAGGGUGACCGGCCACACUGGGACUGAGACACGGCCCAGACCUCCGUACGGGAGGCAG
Molecule: ribosomal RNA, 238 nt
Filed under: uncultured bacterium
Lineage: Bacteria
Description: partial 16S ribosomal RNA
Rfam family: Bacterial small subunit ribosomal RNA
Source: RNAcentral